GAGUUUGAUCCUGGCUCAGGAUGAACGCUGGCGGCGUGCCUAAUACAUGCAAGUCGAACGAAUCUCUUUUAGAGAUGAGUGGCGAACGGGUGAGUAAUACAUAGGUAACCUGCCCCUGUGCGGGGGAUAACAGGAGGAAACUCCUGCUAAUACCGCAUAGCCAUGAGCACCGCAUGGAGCUCAUGCCAAAUAUCCUUUCGGGGAUAGCGCAGGGAUGGACCUAUGGCGCAUUAGCUGGUUGGCGGGGCAACGGCCCACCAAGGCAACGAUGCGUAGCCGGCCUGAGAGGGCGGACGGCCACAUUGGGACUGAGACACGGCCCAGACUCCUACGGGAGGCAGCAGUAGGGAAUUUUCGGCAAUGGGGGAAACCCUGACCGAGCAACGCCGCGUGAGCGAAGAAGGCCUUCGGGUCGUAAAGCUCUGUUGUAAAGGAAGAACGGCGCAUACAGGAAAUGGUAUGCGAGUGACGGUACUUUACCAGAAAGCCACGGCUAACUACGUGCCAGCAGCCGCGGUAAUACGUAGGUGGCGAGCGUUAUCCGGAAUCAUUGGGCGUAAAGAGGGAGCAGGCGGCCGCAAGGGUCUGUGGUGAAAGACCGAAGCUAAACUUCGGUAAGCCAUGGAAACCGGGCGGCUAGAGUGCGGAAGAGGAUCGUGGAAUUCCAUGUGUAGCGGUGAAAUGCGUAGAUAUAUGGAGGAACACCAGUGGCGAAGGCGACGGUCUGGGCCGCAACUGACGCUCAUUCCCGAAAGCGUGGGGAGCAAAUAGGAUUAGAUACCCUAGUAGUCCACGCCGUAAACGAUGGUCACUAAGUGUCGGGGGUCAAACCCCGGUGCUGCAGUCAACGCAAUAAGUGACCCGCCUGAGUAGUACGUUCGCAAGAAUGAAACUCAAAGGAAUUGACGG
Molecule: ribosomal RNA, 909 nt
Filed under: uncultured bacterium
Lineage: Bacteria
Description: bacterial SSU rRNA
Rfam family: Bacterial small subunit ribosomal RNA
Source: RNAcentral